GCCGCGGUGGCGGAAUGGUAGACGCGCUGUCUUCAGAGGACAGUCCUAAUUUUUAGGGUGAGAGUUCAAAUCUCUCCCGCGGCA
Molecule: transfer RNA, 84 nt
Filed under: bacterium CG1_02_42_9
Lineage: Bacteria
Also listed under: 4 other names
Description: tRNA-Leu
Rfam family: tRNA
About the family: Transfer RNA (tRNA) molecules are approximately 80 nucleotides in length.
Source: RNAcentral